UGUAAAUUCUUGCCUUUGUG
RNAcentral lists this small nuclear RNA (20 nucleotides) under Arabidopsis thaliana (thale cress). Its description in RNAcentral is "snRNA_18006". The record is from RNAcentral. Lineage: Eukaryota; Viridiplantae; Streptophyta; Magnoliopsida; Brassicales; Brassicaceae.